AGCUGGUGACCUGUUUCAUUUUGAGUAGAAAUGUAACCUAGGACAAUUUAAGACAUUUAGUUCUCUUACUUUUGAUAAUACUGGCUCGUAUCUAGUUACCUGCUAUGACUCUGUUAAGAUCAGGACUUUUUUUUUUUUUUUUUUAAACAGCUUUUCUGGCUAGGUUUCAGUUUCGUUUCAUUUUCUAUCACUUUGGUUUCAGUUCUGUUUCUCAGGAUACUCUCUUUCCCUUUCCAGGGGUAGUAUCUGAUCCUUUUAGAAUCGUUCCUUUGUGAUUCCUUCUGAUUAAGAUACACGAAUUACUCUAAGGCAGAUAUUCCCAAACGGGAUGUUUAAAAAGCAGUUUUAAAACUUAGUACCAGGCAAAUUCGGUCCAGCAUUAAGCAAAAGGCACUUGCUUUAUUAGUAUCAUAAAUUUGCCUAAUAGCUGUCUCAGUGUGUAUGUCCCAUGGCUGACUUAUUUUGUGUGUGGUUCUUGACGUGUCAAAAGAUCACCAAGAAUCCCUGUCACCCUGAUCAGUCAAAGAGUGAACCUUCAAUACAUAUUUGCUGAAGGAAGGAAGGAAAGAGAAAAAGGCCAUUUCCGGAUGGGCUGGUCAUGGAAGAGUUCCUGAAAGAGGAGAUGUGAGCUCAGUCCCUGAGGACGGUUGAGUUUUAGAGGAAUGAGAAGAUAAGCAACAUUCCAGACAAGGAAUAAAGCACCAACUUAGCAUGCCUCUUCAUGGCAGGUUAGAUAAACAUGUUCUCUGAUUGCUAAAAAUUAACCUUCCACAAUAAAUAAAUGCCAUGUAACCAGACAUGUGAACAUACACAUAGCAGAAAAUUAACAGCAUACCUCUCCAAGAGGUAAUUUUGGGGCAAGAGGAAAAAAAAUAUAUUAUGCUAAUAAUAUAUUAUGCUAUAUAUUAUGCUAUAAAUGCUAAGAGACAGCAUUGAAAAAUAAACUAUUCGUUCUCCAAAAAGGAAACAUGACUAAAACAAAGACCACACCCUAAAAAGUUUUCCUCAAUUAUAUUGCUACAGACUAGUACAAUCAGGAGUGGAAAAUAUACCAUUUCCUGACAUGUCAAAGAGAUAUGAAUGAUUAGUGAUCACGUAGUCACAAAUUAGUGGUGGAUGCUGGUUCUCUCCUGAUGUAAAAGUUAUGUAAGUUCAGGUCUGUGUGAUCUCAUGGGGGCAAAGGUGUUAUAAGUACACACAGAUCACUCACUCUGCACAUAAUACCUUCGCCCCAAAUAACCCUCUGUACCUUUUAUACAGUGAAAGAAUUACAGCUAUCAUUCUAGGCACUAGUCCCUAAAACACAGACUUGCUUGUCCUUUCAAGAAUUUUAAACUUAAGAAAAGGCAUGUGUUAUUCAC
RNAcentral lists this long non-coding RNA (1361 nucleotides) under Mustela putorius furo (domestic ferret). RNAcentral describes it as "lncRNA (ENSMPUG00000030241.1)". Lineage: Eukaryota; Metazoa; Chordata; Mammalia; Carnivora; Mustelidae. The record is from RNAcentral.